AUCCAUAAAAUAAUUUUAACAUUAAAAAUGUGUAAAUCAUCCUUUUAGCAAUAAGACUACUGUUCCAGAUGGAACUGUAGCCCUAUUAAUACACAAAGAAUAAAGCAUAAUUUGUCUGAACAAAAUUUCAUAUAUUUAUAGUGUCAUAUAUAAAAAGAUAAAUAUGCACACACACACACACUGCUAGCUAGUGGGUGAAAAAAAAUCAUACAUCAAAAGUAACAUAAAAUAAAUAAAUAAAAAGAAAUGGGCCUACAGCGCUCCUUAUCAGGCAUCAUGAUAAGCACAGUUGUUAUUUAUUAAUAAGUUCUUUAUUAUGGCGAGUUUCCCCCGAAUCUUGACCCUGACUGACCCCUAUGAUGUCACUCGUCACCUGGUCAGUGUCUGUCAGUCAGUUACUCCGACGUCGAAGAUGUCUGACAAGAAACGAAAAUAUCUUUUUGGCCAUGAAAAACGACAAAAGAAGAGAAGCAAGAAGUUAAAGUAUCCAGGUAAUCCCCAGAAAGUCUCCAGUGGACUUUCCCAUUCAUUUCCCGGGACAGGGUGACAACAAGAGUGAUGAUAUUCCCUCUAAAACCCACUUUCAACAUGAGGAGGAAAAAGCGCCAUUACCCAUGACAUCUUUCAGUUUCCCCUCUGCUUCUCUCCCUCUGUUGGAGUCAGAGGGGAACUGAAACUGAAAAUAAGGCUGAUAGAAAGAAAUAGGGUAGAAAUGGAGAAGAGGAGAGAGAGGGGUGCGUAUGCUGCAGUACAUAAACAUGAGAGCAGCUGGUGAUCUCAGCUGGAGAUCUGCAACCCCAAUCACAGCACAGACUGUUCACUUCACUGUCUGCCAUCACUGACGGCCUUCCAGCUCACUAAACUCAACCGAUACCGCAGGUGUUUCAUAGCUGCUUUUAGACAUGUAAACACUCCUGUAGCCCUCGUGUUAAAUUACUUAUCUGUAACUCUAGUGUCAGUGUAGACAGCUUUGUUGACUGUAAUGUGAUGAGCUCUGUUGCAUCAUUAUGUCUUUAAAGGAAAUUUCUGGAUCGCUACAUUCAUAAAAAUGCAAAUGCAGUAAUGCAUUUACAAUGAAAGUCUAAGGGGAAAAGCACUGCACCUAAAUAACAUUAAAAUACCAGUUUCCUAAAGUAUGAGUGUGAUAAAUUUACUUACAAACCUUGCAAAGUUAAAUGCAUUGUUUCAGCUGAACAUGAACAUGUAAAGACAGUAGGUAACCUAGAUGUUACAGCAUCUGUGCAAACUUACCUGCAGUAAAUCAUGAUGUUUCCUCUCACUCUGAACCUGAUGAAUCAGCAGCUUCACUUUUGUGUAUUU
Long non-coding RNA from Cyprinus carpio (common carp), 1320 nucleotides. Lineage: Eukaryota; Metazoa; Chordata; Actinopteri; Cypriniformes; Cyprinidae. The record is from Ensembl.